UGGGGAAUAUUGCACAAUGGGCGAAAGCCUGAUGCAGCAACGCCGCGUGAGUGAUGAAGGUCUUCGGAUUGUAAAGCUCUGUCUUUUGGGACGAUAAUGACGGUACCAAAGGAGGAAGCCACGGCUAACUACGUGCCAGCAGCCGCGGUAAUACGUAGGUGGCGAGCGUUGUCCGGAUUUACUGGGCGUAAAGGGUGCGUAGGCGGAUGUUUAAGUGAGAUGUGAAAUACCCGGGCUUAACUUGGGUGCUGCAUUUCAAACUGGAUAUCUAGAGUGCAGGAGAGGAGAAUGGAAUUCCUAGUGUAGCGGUGAAAUGCGUAGAGAUUAGGAAGAACACCAGUGGCGAAGGCGAUUCUCUGGACUGUAACUGACGCUGAGGCACGAAAGAGUGGGUAGCAAACAGGAUUAGAUACCCUGGUAGUCCACGCCGUAAACGAUGAGUACUAGGUGUAGGAGGUAUCGACCCCUUCUGUGCCGCAGUAAACACAUUAAGUACUCCGCCUGGGAAGUACGAUCGCAAGAUUAAAACUCUAAAGUGAA
Molecule: ribosomal RNA, 540 nt
Filed under: uncultured bacterium
Lineage: Bacteria
Description: partial 16S ribosomal RNA
Rfam family: Bacterial small subunit ribosomal RNA
Source: RNAcentral